UCGGCGAAGAGGAAUUUAUUUUAGCUUUUGAGCAGCCUUUCCGCUGGCUACCAUAUUGGAUACUAUGUCUCGUGCAGUUGGCAAUAGUGAUCUCUCAGCGAUUGUGUGUGGCGAACUUUCAACACGACAUAGGUGGCAAGGACGCUCAACCAAUGAGGCGCAAGGAAGACCUCACCAGUCAGCAAGCCCCGCCCCCUUCCGCGUCUGAACCACUUGCUGUUCCCGCCCUCCCGUUAAACAGCUUCCAGCUGGAGGCGGACUUACGGAAGCUGAAGAAUCACCCGGAGACCAUGUACAAGUACUUUAAGAAAAUCAAACCGGACAAGUACCCCAAGGUUUUCCAGAACUCUCUGGAACCGGACAUCCGAAAUCAGAUUCUGUG
Conger conger (European conger) is the source of this 382-nucleotide long non-coding RNA. RefSeq lists it as uncharacterized. The transcript is spliced from 3 exons. NCBI's taxonomy places the organism in Eukaryota, Metazoa, Chordata, Actinopteri, Anguilliformes, Congridae. The record is from RefSeq and is a predicted model, not a curated record.